GUGUGUGUGUGUGUUUGUGUGUAUAACAUAUGUAGAUGUGACGUUCUGUUGUUAACCUUGGUUAAACAGGGACCUCUAGUGGUCACAAGUUACCAUAGCAGCGCUAUGCGCAUUUUGUAUAUGUAUAUGUAGAUGUAGCUAAAGUAUAUAUACUGUAAAUAUGAUUUUAGGACUCUUAUUAUUAUAACAAC
This is a long non-coding RNA of Syngnathus acus (greater pipefish), 191 nucleotides long. RefSeq lists it as uncharacterized. Lineage: Eukaryota; Metazoa; Chordata; Actinopteri; Syngnathiformes; Syngnathidae. The record is from RefSeq and is a predicted model, not a curated record. The transcript is spliced from 3 exons.